CCAAUACAUGCCCAUAUAUGGAGAUUACUUACUAUACUAUCACGGAUAAAGUUUUGGCUAAGAACACAAGGAAAGGGAAGUAUAGAAUGACCUGCAAGAGGGGUCCUACCAUAUUUAACAUAUUUCGCAAUAAGAAAGGUCAUAUCCCGAGAAGUAGAAGAUCAGGGAUAUACUCGAUUCCCCUAUAUAAUAAUGAUGAAAGAAUUGAGCAAUGUUAUAUUGAAAGCACUACUAGGAGCCUGUAGAUUGAUCACAGCCCUGGCACGUAGAGCCUACGAACAAGAUCUCGUAAUUGACUGAGGACAGGCGAGUGUAAUAAAACCUGUGAGUAGACCCAGAGGCCUCACUACUUUUGAGGCUAUAGACUUAGAGAGAAUGACAUGCCGUAAAGACACGAUCAAUGAUGACAGCC
Molecule: long non-coding RNA, 412 nt
Filed under: Androctonus crassicauda
Lineage: Eukaryota; Metazoa; Arthropoda; Arachnida; Scorpiones; Buthidae
Source: RNAcentral